This 73-nucleotide transfer RNA is filed under the name Taenia asiatica. It matches the Rfam family "tRNA". Rfam says of the family: Transfer RNA (tRNA) molecules are approximately 80 nucleotides in length. Their secondary structure includes four short double-helical elements and three loops (D, anti-codon, and T loops). Lineage: Eukaryota; Metazoa; Platyhelminthes; Cestoda; Cyclophyllidea; Taeniidae. The record is from Rfam by way of RNAcentral.
GCCCGUGUGUCUCAAUGGACAGGGCGUCUGCCCUCUAAUUAGAAAUAUGGGAGUUCGAAUCCCCUCACAGGCA